RNAcentral lists this ribosomal RNA (458 nucleotides) under uncultured bacterium. Its description in RNAcentral is "SSU rRNA". It matches the Rfam family "Bacterial small subunit ribosomal RNA", at positions 26 to 518 of the family's 1533-position model. The record is from RNAcentral.
AGAAUCAACGCUGGCGGCGUGCCUAACACAUGCAAGUCGAACGAGAAAGUGGAGCAAUCCAUGAGUAAAGUGGCGCACGGGUGAGUAACACGUGACUAACCUACCCUUGAGUGGGGAAUAACUUCGGGAAACCGAGGCUAAUACCGCAUAAUACCUACGGGUCAAAGGAGCAAUUCGCUUAAGGAGGGGGUCGCGGCAGAUUAGUUAGUUGGCAGGGUAAUGGCCUACCAAGACGGUGAUCUGUAUCCGGCCUGAGAGGGCGCACGGACACACUGGAACUGAAACACGGUCCAGACUCCUACGGGAGGCAGCAGUGGGAAUUUUGCGCAAUGGGGGAAACCCUGACGCAGCAACGCCGCGUGGAGGAUGAAGUCCCUUGGGACGUAAACUCCUUUCGAUCGGGACGAUUAUGACGGUACCAGAAGAAGAAGCCCGGCUAACUUCGCGCCAGCAGCCGC